AAGGAACUCGGCAAAAUGACCCCGUAACUUCGGGAGAAGGGGUGCUCUUUAGGGUUCACGCCCAGAAGAGCCGCAGUGAAUAGGCCCAAGCGACUGUUUAUCAAAAACACAGGUCUCUGCUAAACCGUAAGGUGAUGUAUAGGGGCUGACGCCUGCCCGGUGCUGGAAGGUUAAGAGGAGUGGUUAGCUUCUGCGAAGCUACGAAUCGAAGCCCCAGUAAACGGCGGCCGUAACUAUAACGGUCCUAAGGUAG
This 253-nucleotide ribosomal RNA is filed under the name Staphylococcus epidermidis CIM37. Its description in RNAcentral is "partial 23S ribosomal RNA". It matches the Rfam family "Bacterial large subunit ribosomal RNA", at positions 1707 to 1959 of the family's 2925-position model. Lineage: Bacteria; Bacillati; Bacillota; Bacilli; Caryophanales; Staphylococcaceae. The record is from RNAcentral.